RNAcentral lists this long non-coding RNA (1532 nucleotides) under Malus domestica (apple). RNAcentral describes it as "long non-coding RNA (MDOM_LNC003998)". The record is from RNAcentral. Lineage: Eukaryota; Viridiplantae; Streptophyta; Magnoliopsida; Rosales; Rosaceae.
UAUACAUUCCAUAUUAUCACAUCCAAAACAUAAAAACGCAUUUUUGUUUUAAGUAUAUUUUCGCUUACCUAAAGUCUUUAAUAGUUUUUUAAUUAAUGUAGAAGUGUAAAAAAAUAUAGAAAAAUAUAUAUAAACACUCGUAAUGACAAGCUUUAUAACUUUCAUGAAGAGCUUAACUUCGAAAUUCGCCACUAUAAUCAUAUAAAUCAUAGAUCAAAAUUUAACCGUUGAUUGUUGUUUACAUUUAUGCUUCAUUGUUCGCAUCAAAUUUCAUUUUUUUAGAUUUUCUUUUUUGAAAACAUGAUCUAUUAGAGGGUGCAGGUAGAUGAACUGUUUGGAUCGUUGAAAUUAUAUUUAGAGUUUUACGGUUAGUGAAAAUAUUGCUUGAUGUUUAUAAAGUUUCUACAAAUUAUAUGACAUUGACUCAUAUUUCAGUUAACUGUAAAUAUCGAAACGUGAUAUCAUCUUCUUACAUUCGCCAGAUGAUCAUGCUUUCAAAAAAUAAAAUUUUAAAAAUGAAAUUCAGUCAAAAGAAUAAAGUGUAAAUAACAAUUGACGGUUAAAUAAAUUUAAGGUUUCACUACUACAAAAUUAUCUAUUGCUGGCGGUCCAAAAACUUUUUUCAACGAUCCAACCGUCAAACUUAUUUGUACACAUUCCAAGAUUGCAUACGUAAAGAAUGGUAAAAAACAAACAUUCAGAGAUUACGUAACAGAACAAAAGUUUUCGACGGUUAUAACGAAAAAUCACAAUUUAACGGUUAUUUUAGCUCCGAUUUUGAUGAUUUUUUACAAAUACACUCCUCGACCCUAUACGAAUGUAAUGAAUAAAUUUGAUCUUUAAUUUAAAGUAUUUACACUAGUGCAUACCACAAAAACUUAUUUUAUACUUAAUAGAAGUAUAAUAUUAACUCUAAGUGUUUGUUUAAUCUACCGUUUUGACGCAAUAUGCAUUCUACGAAACUUUUUUCAACGAUCCAACCGUCAAACAUAUUUGUACACAUUUCGAGAUCGCAUACAUAAAAAAUCGUAAAAAACAAACAUUCAGAGAUUACGUAAUGGAACAAAAGUUUUCGACGGUUAUAAACGAAAAAUCACAAUUUAACGGUUAUUUUAUCUCUGAUUUUGAUGAUUUUUUACAGAUACACUCCUCGACCCUAUAAGAAUGUAAUGAAUAAAUUUGAUCUUUAAUUUAAAGUAUUUACACUAGUGGAUACCACAAAAACUUAUUUUAUACUUAAUAGAAGUAUAGUAUUAACUCUAAGUGUUUGUUUAAUCUACUGUUUUGAUGCAAUAUGCAUUCUAUAAAACUUUUUUCAACUAUCCAACCGUCAAAUUUAUUUGUACACAUUCCGAGAUCGCAUACGUAAAAAAUCAUAAAAAACAAACAUUCAGAGAUUACGUAACGGAACAAAAGUUUUCGACGGUUAUAAACGAAAAAUCACAAUUUAACGGUUAUUUUAGCUCUGAUUUUGAUGAUUUUUUUACAGAUACACUCCUCGACCCUAUAAGAAUGUAAUGAAUAAAUUUGAU